UUAGUGAUGAAGCACAAAUUCACAGGGAGAGUUUAAGGAAAAGGAGCACAGCAUAAGGUGUCCAUAGAUCAACAUUUACCAAGCUGAUGUUUACUAAGCAUCACACCAUAUCCUGCAUCAUGCAAUGGUUCAGUGAUACCAGAACCUGAAAUUCUAAUAAAAAGAAUCAAUAAGGUAACAAAAUAAGGCUAACCUAGACGUGGUUUCAGCAGCUCAUAGAGAAGCAAGGGAAAGAUGUGCAAACAACCUCCUAAAGUCUUAGAAGUGAAUCCAUCACUACUAACACACUCAAUUGGAGAAGUUCAGAAUAAAAAAGACCCUAGAAGGAGAAGGUAUCUGAUUGAAGAAGUCUGAUUGCUUCUGGGAAGUGAAGUGGAAGUCUGGCCGUGAAUGUAAAGUGCUCCUGGCUACAGCUCUUCAGAGCAAUUUUUCUUGCCCUGUCAGGUGAGUUCAACAAAGUAGAAAAGUUAUGGUCUGUCUAGAGGCUCGACUUGUAAAGGAUGUUUACUUGUAAGGCUAUUUGACUGCACUUAGUGCACUGAAGAACAAUCCUUUGACCUCAUGAUGAGUAAAGGAGAGACAGAAUGAAAUGUUGCAUUCAGAGGGCACCACUCUGUGAGACGUAUGGGCUAGCGUGACAGAGAUAUUCCCCUUUAAUUAUCCAAAGAAAUCCCACUGUUAACUUUAAAUUGAUAGAGUCCAGAAAACAGACAGUGAUUCAGAGGUAGAACAAAAAACAUAAAACACAAAUAUUUGUGUAAUGUCUCAAUGCAUUGAGAUUUAAACAUAAUAAAUAGGUUUUAUUAUAAAUUUACAAAUUGUACGUUUGUGGCCACUUUUAUAUGUAAUCUCAUAUUUCAGAUGUAAAAGGAGGACACUAAUACUUAUUGAAGAGUUAAUUUGAUAUAUGCUUCUCUUAAGAUAUACAUUUUCAAUCAUUUCAAGAAUAUAUUCACUCUAAUUACUUAAAUUGUAAUUCAUUCUAAGCUAAAUUUAUACAUUGUAUUUCACUAUAAGACCCACAUUCUUUUCACUACUGAAUGUCUCUGAAACCAGGUUGCUUUAUUAAAAUGGAUAAUGUAUCAGAAAUUAAUUGACAGCAUUUUGUCAUUCUUAAUAGUGUGGAAUAUAACGGUAUUUCGUCUGAUGGCUCCUUGGCUUUAAUAUAUGACAGUUGUUGCACCACUGAUUUCUCUAGAAAUUCUACCCUGCUCACUUCAUCAAUGCUCUUAACCUUUAUUUUGUUCUCUCCUUGUAGGAUGAUUCUAUAAUUUAUCUUCCAACUCACAACUCUUACGAAAGUGAAGAGGGUGCUGAAAAUAGUUGUGCUAAGGUAUUAGGUGAUAAAAAAGGCCCUGUCCCAAUUAAACUAGAACUCUCACCCCAGAGAAGGGGAUACUGGCAUACACACAUGGCUUCAUGACCUGCCUUAGUGCACAAACAUAUACACACAGUCACAGCCCAUCCAGGAACUUCUAAUUAAGAUGUAUGACCUGCGAUGGCUAUCCUAAGAAAUCUCUCUUUUGUUUUUAGGAGAAAAAAGUCUUAAUAAAAUAUUCACUUUGGGUGUCUAAAUAGAUGUUGGAUAAGUUCUUAAAAUAUUUUUUAGUGAUGUAAAUGUACUACCUCUAAACUUGUUUAAAAUUGUCACUGGCAGGGCUCAUAGUAUUUACCUAUUUAUCUAUUCAUUCAUUUUUAUAUAAUUUUGUUUUACAAAGUGUAGAAUACACACUAGGUUAUUAUUAUAGAAGGAAUAAAUGAAUUUGAGCUUAUUGUAACAUCAUUUAUUUCUUCAUUGAGUAUGGAAAACAGACCUGAAUGAAAUUCAGCUUGACAUUAGUUACCUAAUGAUUGUCUUAGGGUCAGGAUGAAAGAUUUGAAAGCUAAAAUUGUAAAGAAUUGGAACAUCAAAAGGAGUUUAUUGCUUUAUAAAUACAAUUAAUUAUAUAUUGUGUUAUUAAUAUUCGACAUUUCUCCCAAAUAUGUACAGAAAUAACAUUUUAGGAAACAGCCUAUUGGCAGUAACCGUUAUAUAGAAAUUUGUAUUAUUUAGGAAAAUCAAGAUAUUAUAGAAAAUGGGACCUUAUAUACGAACACUUCAGAAGCUGAGUCUUGUAAAUGAUAAGAUGAAUUUUUUUCAUUCCAGAAAGAGAAGAGACUAAAUAAAUUCUGUCGUAUUUGAUAAACUUAGAUACCACACGUAUCUUUUUUGAGAUGGUUAUACUAGUGAUAUUGGAUUUCAUAUAUAGUCAAUGAAUAAAAAAUAGUCUGUGUGAAUGUUUGACUCAGAUGUAUUUUAUGCAAAUUUAAGUACGGUUUCAGUAAGCACUGAAAAUAUAGCAUUAUUCACUAUUCUAAAAUCUUCUGGUUGAUUGGGAAAUUUUAACAUAUUUCAAAAGACUGCAUUUUGGGCUGGUUCUUUAUACCCAAAAGAGUUUCCAUUAUAUGGUAGAAGCAAUGGUAAAAAUAAUUGCAAAUCUGUUGUUUCAUGAGUUGGAAAUUUUUGGGGAAUUCUAAGAUUUCCUUUCAAAAGUCUCUGCAUCUCUGUGUGAUUUUUUUACUGAGCCAUUUCUUGUGUCAUCAAAUGGCAGUAUUCAGGAUGUGAAUAGUUUCCUAUCAGAGGUCGAAUAUUGUGGGUAGAAGCCCUAAAUAGAAAAUCUAGAGAUCACUAUUUAAAUUGUAGAUCUUCACAUUUUGGGGGCAAGGCAUGAAUCAUUGAGUUGGUCAGUAUCAUAGUCUAAAGGUCAUAAUGGUCAUUGUGGGGGAUAAAUAUCAAGUAUUCACUAAAGCAGGUGGUGAUUCUGUGGGUCUCCUGAGAGGUAUAGCUAACCAAAAUGCAACCUCCAACCUAUGGGCAGAUAUUUUCAUUCUUUACAGCCCUGAGAUUAAAGAAGUUAGGGCUGGAUGCAGUGGCUCACGCCUGUAAUCUCAGCUACUUGGGAGGCUGAGACAUGAGAAUUGCUUGAACCCAGGAGGUGGAGGUUGUAGUGAGCCAAGAUCACACCAUUGCACUCCAGCCUGGGCACCAGAGGGAGGCUCUGUUUCAAAGAAAAAAAAAAGAAAAGAAAAAUAUCUGUUGAAUAUGGUGCUGGAUACCUCAGUUGGUUGUAACGGUGUAUUUUCUUAGAAAUAUGGUAAAAUUUACUAUAUACACAUUUAAAUGUAAAGCUACAGGAAUGUUUUCUGUACAGUAGAUAAAAUUUGCAUUGUUAAUCUGUUUUUAUUGGCAUGAUUUAUAACUGAUUUUCUGGAAUAGAUAACAGAUUUUCAUUGAUCCAUACUCACUAGCUUUUAGAUCUCAAAACUCACGAGUAGUAGUUAGAAGAGCUAAAAAAUUCUGGGAAAGAGGAUGAGUAUAAGGAGAGAGACUAAGUAGCCUGAGAUAAGAAACUAGAUGUCUUAACCAUUAUGAAAAUAGAAAAGAAAGUAAUUUUUAUAUAUAUACACACACACUAUAUAUAUAUACACAUUCAAUAUAUAUGCACAAAAUAUACAUUAAAUAUAUAUGUUGAAUGUAUAAAAUCAUAUUUUAUAUAUUUACACACACAUAUAUAUAGGGCAAUUCCAGGAGAGGAUAUAAAAUGUGUACAAAUACUCUUGAAGCUAAUUUAAACAUAAAACACUUUUUGUCUAAUGUAAUCUUAUAAACUAGUAAUCCAUCUUCAAUCUGUUUUAAAAAUGUUGCUUUGAGUGGAGGAAUGACAGCUGAAGAAUACAAAUGUUAUAUGGACAUAUGAAAACAUAUAUAUGCUUACAACUG
Molecule: long non-coding RNA, 3760 nt
Filed under: Homo sapiens (human)
Lineage: Eukaryota; Metazoa; Chordata; Mammalia; Primates; Hominidae
Description: HSALNT0271611
Source: RNAcentral